GACGGAGGGUGCAAGCGUUGCUCGGAAUCACUGGGCGUAAAGGGUGCGUAGGCGGUCUCGCAAGUCUGGCGUGAAAGCCCAAGGCUCAGCCUUGGAAGUGCGCUCGAAACGGCGGGGCUGGAGUGCCGGAGGGGAGAGUGGAAUUCCCGGUGUAGCGGUGAAAUGCGUAGAGAUCGGGAGGAAUACCGGUGGCGAAAGCGACUCUCUGGACGGCAACUGACGCUGAGGCGCGAAAGCGUGGGGAGCAAACAGG
This 253-nucleotide ribosomal RNA is filed under the name uncultured bacterium. Its description in RNAcentral is "partial 16S ribosomal RNA". It matches the Rfam family "Bacterial small subunit ribosomal RNA", at positions 524 to 776 of the family's 1533-position model. The record is from RNAcentral.